GGAAGCGUUUCGUCACCGGUGUGGCGCUUGGUCUUCAAAACCAAUGUACGGCAGUGAUGUCGUAGGCAGGUUCGACUCCUGUACGCUUCCGCCA
This 94-nucleotide transfer RNA is filed under the name Pseudodesulfovibrio sp. zrk46. Its description in RNAcentral is "tRNA-Sec". It matches the Rfam family "Selenocysteine transfer RNA". The record is from RNAcentral. Lineage: Bacteria; Pseudomonadati; Thermodesulfobacteriota; Desulfovibrionia; Desulfovibrionales; Desulfovibrionaceae.